AUGAAAUUGAGUUCAAUUUACUUGAGAAAUUUCAGUCUUGAAUUUGUUCUUUUUAUAUUCGCAAGUGUGCGCAAUAGAAAAAUCCUUCUUUUUCACAGAACAUUGGAAAAAUACUUUUACUUAUAUUAUACAUUGAAGAGAGAACAUUGUAUACAUUGUGUAUUCUGCCCUGUAUUGCCGUUAUAUUGUCUUCCGAUUGUUCUCUUAUUGCUGCCAUAUUACUUUUUUCACCUAUGUAUUGGCAAUUAUAA
Molecule: long non-coding RNA, 251 nt
Filed under: Prunus dulcis (almond)
Lineage: Eukaryota; Viridiplantae; Streptophyta; Magnoliopsida; Rosales; Rosaceae
Description: sRNA ncRNA
Source: RNAcentral